CGGACGGGUGAGUAAUGUCUGGGAAACUGCCUGAUGGAGGGGGAUAACUACUGGAAACGGUAGCUAAUACCGCAUAACGUCGCAAGACCAAAGAGGGGGACCUUCGGGCCUCUUGCCAUCGGAUGUGCCCAGAUGGGAUUAGCUAGUAGGUGGGGUAACGGCUCACCUAGGCGACGAUCCCUAGCUGGUCUGAGAGGAUGACCAGCCACACUGGAACUGAGACACGGUCAG
Molecule: ribosomal RNA, 231 nt
Filed under: uncultured bacterium
Lineage: Bacteria
Description: partial 16S ribosomal RNA
Rfam family: Bacterial small subunit ribosomal RNA
Source: RNAcentral